This 1326-nucleotide ribosomal RNA is filed under the name Escherichia coli. RNAcentral describes it as "partial 23S ribosomal RNA". It matches the Rfam family "Bacterial large subunit ribosomal RNA", at positions 418 to 1746 of the family's 2925-position model. Lineage: Bacteria; Pseudomonadati; Pseudomonadota; Gammaproteobacteria; Enterobacterales; Enterobacteriaceae. The record is from RNAcentral.
CGGGACACGUGGUAUCCUGUCUGAAUAUGGGGGGACCAUCCUCCAAGGCUAAAUACUCCUGACUGACCGAUAGUGAACCAGUACCGUGAGGGAAAGGCGAAAAGAACCCCGGCGAGGGGAGUGAAAAAGAACCUGAAACCGUGUACGUACAAGCAGUGGGAGCACGCUUAGGCGUGUGACUGCGUACCUUUUGUAUAAUGGGUCAGCGACUUAUAUUCUGUAGCAAGGUUAACCGAAUAGGGGAGCCGAAGGGAAACCGAGUCUUAACUGGGCGUUAAGUUGCAGGGUAUAGACCCGAAACCCGGUGAUCUAGCCAUGGGCAGGUUGAAGGUUGGGUAACACUAACUGGAGGACCGAACCGACUAAUGUUGAAAAAUUAGCGGAUGACUUGUGGCUGGGGGUGAAAGGCCAAUCAAACCGGGAGAUAGCUGGUUCUCCCCGAAAGCUAUUUAGGUAGCGCCUCGUGAAUUCAUCUCCGGGGGUAGAGCACUGUUUCGGCAAGGGGGUCAUCCCGACUUACCAACCCGAUGCAAACUGCGAAUACCGGAGAAUGUUAUCACGGGAGACACACGGCGGGUGCUAACGUCCGUCGUGAAGAGGGAAACAACCCAGACCGCCAGCUAAGGUCCCAAAGUCAUGGUUAAGUGGGAAACGAUGUGGGAAGGCCCAGACAGCCAGGAUGUUGGCUUAGAAGCAGCCAUCAUUUAAAGAAAGCGUAAUAGCUCACUGGUCGAGUCGGCCUGCGCGGAAGAUGUAACGGGGCUAAACCAUGCACCGAAGCUGCGGCAGCGACGCUUAUGCGUUGUUGGGUAGGGGAGCGUUCUGUAAGCCUGCGAAGGUGUGCUGUGAGGCAUGCUGGAGGUAUCAGAAGUGCGAAUGCUGACAUAAGUAACGAUAAAGCGGGUGAAAAGCCCGCUCGCCGGAAGACCAAGGGUUCCUGUCCAACGUUAAUCGGGGCAGGGUGAGUCGACCCCUAAGGCGAGGCCGAAAGGCGUAGUCGAUGGGAAACAGGUUAAUAUUCCUGUACUUGGUGUUACUGCGAAGGGGGGACGGAGAAGGCUAUGUUGGCCGGGCGACGGUUGUCCCGGUUUAAGCGUGUAGGCUGGUUUUCCAGGCAAAUCCGGAAAAUCAAGGCUGAGGCGUGAUGACGAGGCACUACGGUGCUGAAGCAACAAAUGCCCUGCUUCCAGGAAAAGCCUCUAAGCAUCAGGUAACAUCAAAUCGUACCCCAAACCGACACAGGUGGUCAGGUAGAGAAUACCAAGGCGCUUGAGAGAACUCGGGUGAAGGAACUAGGCAAAAUGGUGCCGUAACUUCGGGAGAAGG